Molecule: long non-coding RNA, 1978 nt
Filed under: Homo sapiens (human)
Lineage: Eukaryota; Metazoa; Chordata; Mammalia; Primates; Hominidae
Description: PREDICTED lncRNA (TCONS_00052463)
Source: RNAcentral
ACCCGCUUGGGUCCCCUUCCACACUGUGGAAGCUUUGUUCUUUUGCUCUUUGCAAUAAAUCUUGCUACUGCUCACUCUUUGGGUCCAUGCUGCUUUUAUGAGCUGUAACACUCACCACGAAGGCCUGCAGCUUCACUCCUGAAGCCAGCGAGACCACGAGCCCGCCGGGAGGAACGAACAACUCCAGAUGUGCCGCCUUAAGAGCUGUAACACUCACCGCAAAGGUCUGCAGCUUCACUCCUGAGCCAGCGAGACCACGAACCCACCAGAAGGAAGAAACUCCGAACACAUCCGAACAUCAGAAGGAACAAACUCCAGACGCACCACCUUAAGAGCUGUAACACUCACCGCAAGGGUCCGCAGUUUCAUUCUUGAAGUCAGUGAGACCAAGAACCCACCAAUUCCGGACACAUUUUGGCGACCCAGAUGGGACUUUCGCCUAUCACCAAGCGGUGAGACCAUCACCUAUAGCUGAGCGGUGAGACCAUCACCUAUAGCUGAGCGGCGAGACCAUCACCUAUCACCAAGCAAAUCAAGGCCAUCAAGCUACAGAUGGGCUUACAAAUGGAACCCAAAAUGAGUUCAACUAACAACUUCUACCAAGGGCCCCUGGACCGACCCACUGGCACUUCCCCUGGCCUAGAGUUCCCCUCUGAAGGACACUACAACUGCAAGGCCCCUUCUUCACCCCAUCCAGCAGGAAGUAGCUAGAGCGGUCAUCGGCCAAAUUCCCAACAGCAGUUGGGGUGUCCUGUUUAGAGGGGGGAUUGAGAGGUGACAGCAUGCUGGCAGUCCUCAGCCCUCACUCACUCUUGGCACCUCCUCUGCCCGGGCUCCCACUUUGGUGGCACUUGAGGAGCGCUUCAGCCCACCGCUGCACUGUGGGAGCCCCUUUCUGGGCUGGCCAAGGCCAGAGCCGGCUCCCUCAGCUUCCAGGGAGGUGUGGAGGGAGAGGCUCAAGCGGGAACUGGGGCUGCGUGCGGCGCUUGCGGGCCAGCUGGAGUUCCGGGCGGGCGUGGGCUUGGCGGGCCCUGCACUCAGAGCAGCCAGCCGGCCCUGCCGGCCCCGGGCAGUGAGGGGCUUAGUACCUGGGCCAGCAGCUGUGAAGGGUGUACUGGGUCCCCCAGCAGUGCCAGCCCACCGGCGCUGCACUCGAUUUCUCACCGGGCCUUAGCCGCCUUCCCAUGGGGCAGGGCUUGGGACCUGCAGCCCGCCAUGCCUGAGCCUCCCACACCCCCUCCAUGGGCUCCUGUGCGGCCCGAGCCUCCUCGACGAGCGCCACCCCCUGCUCCACGGCACCCAGUCCCAUCGACCACCCAAGGGCUGAGGAGUGCGGGCGCACGCAGGGGACUGGCAGGCAGCUCCACCUGCAGCCCCGGUGCGGGAUUCACCGGGUGAAGCCAGCUGGGCUCCUGAAUCUGACAUAAAUACACCAAUCGGCACUCUGUAUCUAGCUCAAGGUUUGUAAACACACCAGUCAGCACCCUGUGUCUAGCUCAGGGUUUGUGAGUGCACCAAUUGACACUCUGUAUCUAGCUGCUCUGGUGGGGCCGUGAAGAACCUUUAUGUCUAGCUCAGGGAUUGUAAAUACACCAAUCGGCACUCUGUAUCUAGCUCAAGGUUUGUAAACACACCAAUCAGCACCCUGUGUCUAGCUCAGGGUUUGUGAGUGCACCAAUGGACACUCUGUAUCUAUCUGCUCUGGUGGGGCCUUGGAGAACCUUUGUGUGGAUACUCUGUAUCUAAUCUGAUGGGGACGUGGAGAACCUUUGUAUCCAGCUCAGGGAUUGUAAACGCACCAAUCAGCGCCCUGUCAAAACAGACCACUGGGCUCUACCAAUCAGCAGGACGUGGGUGGGGCCAGAUAAGAGAAUGAAACCAGGCUGCCCCAGCCAGCAGUGGCAACCCGCUUGGGUCCCCUUCCACACUGUGGAAGCUUUGUUCUUUUGCUCUUUGCAAUAAAUCUUGCUACUGCUCA